UAGGGCUUGCACUAUCACCUAGCGGCGGACGGGUGAGUAAUGCUUAGGAAUCUGCCUAUUAGUGGGGGACAACAUUUCGAAAGGAAUGCUAAUACCGCAUACGUCCUACGGGAGAAAGCAGGGGAUCUUCGGACCUUGCGCUAAUAGAUGAGCCUAAGUCGGAUUAGCUAGUUGGUGGGGUAAAGGCCUACCAAGGCGACGAUCUGUAGCGGGUCUGAGAGGAUGAUCCGCCACACUGGGACUGAGACACGGCCCAGACUCCUACGGGAGGCAGCAGUGGGGAAUAUUGGACAAUGGGCGCAAGCCUGAUCCAGCCAUGCCGCGUGUGUGAAGAAGGCCUUAUGGUUGUAAAGCACUUUAAGCGAGGAGGAGGCUACUUUAGAUAAUACCUAGAGAUAGUGGACGUUACUCGCAGAAUAAGCACCGGCUAACUCUGUGCCAGCAGCCGCGGUAAUACAGAGGGUGCAAGCGUUAAUCGGAUUUACUGGGCGUAAAGCGCGCGUAGGCGGCUAAUUAAGUCAAAUGUGAAAUCCCCGAGCUUAACUUGGGAAUUGCAUUCGAUACUGGUUAGCUAGAGUGUGGGAGAGGAUGGUAGAAUUCCAGGUGUAGCGGUGAAAUGCGUAGAGAUCUGGAGGAAUACCGAUGGCGAAGGCAGCCAUCUGGCCUAACACUGACGCUGAGGUGCGAAAGCAUGGGGAGCAAACAGGAUUAGAUACCCUGGUAGUCCAUGCCGUAAACGAUGUCUACUAGCCGUUGGGGCCUUUGAGGCUUUAGUGGCGCAGCUAACGCGAUAAGUAGACCG
Molecule: ribosomal RNA, 802 nt
Filed under: uncultured bacterium
Lineage: Bacteria
Description: bacterial SSU rRNA
Rfam family: Bacterial small subunit ribosomal RNA
Source: RNAcentral